Molecule: ribosomal RNA, 465 nt
Filed under: Vreelandella stevensii
Lineage: Bacteria; Pseudomonadati; Pseudomonadota; Gammaproteobacteria; Oceanospirillales; Halomonadaceae
Description: partial 16S ribosomal RNA
Rfam family: Bacterial small subunit ribosomal RNA
Source: RNAcentral
CCUACGGGUGGCUGCAGUGGGGAAUAUUGGACAAUGGGGGGAACCCUGAUCCAGCCAUGCCGCGUGUGUGAAGAAGGCCCUCGGGUUGUAAAGCACUUUCAGUGAGGAAGAACGCCUGGUGGUUAAUACCCAUCAGGAAAGACAUCACUCACAGAAGAAGCACCGGCUAACUCCGUGCCAGCAGCCGCGGUAAUACGGAGGGUGCGAGCGUUAAUCGGAAUUACUGGGCGUAAAGCGCGCGUAGGUGGCUUGAUAAGCCGGUUGUGAAAGCCCCGGGCUCAACCUGGGAACGGCCUCCGGAACUGUCAAGCUAGAGUGCAGGAGAGGAAGGUAGAAUUCCCGGUGUAGCGGUGAAAUGCGUAGAGAUCGGGAGGAAUACCAGUGGCGAAGGCGGCCUUCUGGACUGACACUGACACUGAGGUGCGAAAGCGUGGGUAGCAAACAGGAUUAGAUACCCGAGUAGUC